UUAGAUGUUGAUUAUAGCUCAAGCCAUAUCCUGUCACCUUAGGUCGAUCGGUACCUCAAUUUGUAUUUAAAAAUGAUUUAUCUAUUUUUAACCUAUUAAAUUCAGUUCCUAAACUUUGUCUAGGUCACACCCAGCAAGGGUACUCCUGGGCAUUAGCUCAGGUGGUUAGAGCGCACCCCUGAUAAGGGUGAGGUCCCUGGUUCAAGUGCAGGAUGGCCAUUCGGUGUUGGGGGUAUAGCUCAGUUGGUAGAGCGCCUGCUUUGCAAGCAGGAUGUCAGCGGUUCGAGUCCGCUUACCUCCACCGAUCGACCUCUUGAAAUCGAAGCUUAUGGAGAUAUCUCUUCGAUGUGAUCUAGAAUUUGUUCCUGAAUAAUUUGAACCUAGCUUCUUAUCAUUCUAUCAAAAUUGUCUAUUUUGAUUUGGUUGAUAUGACGCUGGGCUCGACUGCAAUUUGACUUGCAGAGAAGUUCAGUAGAACCUUGACAACUGCAUAGGUGAGUCUGGAAAAAUAAAGCAUCUCAUGGAUGAAUUAUUUUCUCAACAAAUUAUUUUAGAAGUUUUGAUUUAAUCUAAACUUCAUUAAUUUGAUUGAGAUUAUAUUGUAAUUCUUGAGCAAGAGCCGAGUCUUUAUAA
RNAcentral lists this transfer RNA (633 nucleotides) under uncultured Prochlorococcus sp. RNAcentral's name for it is "partial 16S-23S ribosomal RNA intergenic spacer". The stretch from base 229 to 301 matches the Rfam family "tRNA". Lineage: Bacteria; Bacillati; Cyanobacteriota; Cyanophyceae; Synechococcales; Prochlorococcaceae. The record is from RNAcentral.